Molecule: long non-coding RNA, 1980 nt
Organism: Rhopalosiphum padi (bird cherry-oat aphid)
Lineage: Eukaryota; Metazoa; Arthropoda; Insecta; Hemiptera; Aphididae
Exons: 2
Source: RefSeq, a predicted model, not a curated record
UCUUAUCAGCUUAACAUCUGAUACACCUUUCAUUGAGAGGUUCAAAUGUUAAACUAAUUUUUUCAAACUUUGGUGGAGAUUUUGGGGCUUGCUCCUGCUCCACCGCGGGUUGACCCGGUAUUGCAGUACCACCGGGAACGGCCCACAUAAUAAUAUGAUCUAGGAUAAAAUAUCUCAAAGAUAUAUUCAUUAAUAUAUCAAAAUCUAAUUUAUCCAAAAUUUUGGAAGUUCAAAAUCAAAAAAACUCGAAUUUUGGAUUUUCAAAAAAAAUUUUUGUUUUCGCUCGGUCUAUCCAUAUAUCGUUCUUUUAUUCUAUGGAUGUACAGUAAGUUAUGUUAUAACUUUUACAUCUAGGAAUUUGUAGGCAAAAACAUUUAUUUACUUUAUUUAUUCACCUCGACAUUAAGUGAGAAACAAUUAUUUCAAAGAUGGUUUCGAUUAUCAUUAUGUUUUGCUUAAACCGUUCCGUGUUGUUGUAAUUCGUACAUUAAUACCUAAAUAAUAAAAUAUUGGAAAUUUUAAAUCACUACACGAUUUUUCUGGACAGAUGUUUGAUUUUGUUAAGUAAAGACGUACGAAAAAAUAUGACGUUUUCAAAAUAUUUAUUACGAUUGUCAUCGUUUUUAUUUUGCGUGUAGCAUGUAUAGUAAUAAAACGACGGGCGUUGCCGUCUGCACAUACACACACACACACACGUUCAUAACCCGCCGCCGCUACGACUACGUUCACUGCUGUGUCUACUCGGUUUUUAAUUUGUAUUUUAUUCGAAUUGACCUCUAGCAGCUAUAUUACGAGUUAGAUAUAUGCACGUAUAUUAUUCAACGUUUAAACGGGUCAUUUAGAACUUUGAAUAUUAAGUAUAUUAUGUUUUAAUAAACGAGUAACAAAAAAAAAAUCUAUCUAUAUUAAUUUCACUCCGAGGCAAAUUCCUUCCCCUACCUUGACACGAUCCACUAAAUACAAUAUACUAUACGGCCAUAGUCCAUAGUAGAUACUAAAUUUGAACUCACAAAAUCACUUUAAUUAUUAUCUCUUCUAUCACUAUCAUCCUAUCGAUUUUUGUCGUAUGAAUCGUUGACUGUUAUUCUCGCCCAUGAAUUAAUAAAACAUGAUACCGUUUCGAGAGCUUAUCACUAAAUGAUAAAACGUUAAAAACAAACAAAACAAAUAACAAUAACAACACAAAAUAUGUAAGUCUUCACAAACACAAACAACACAAAGACGAUUUAAGAUAUUGUUCAAUGUCGACGAGUUUAUGAACAAACGGUUAACACUAGGAACUAGAAAGUUAUGUGAUUACAGCAGAAGUUGGUUGGUGCAAUUUUUUGGACUUAUUCGUGUUUGGUUACAUCGCACAUUACGCUUAAAAGCCAACGACACCUUUCUCCGCUCGCUAUGUAGCCGGUUAUUUUUAGAAAGCUGUGUGUCAGUGGUAUCAACAGGUUCAGUUGUGACAUCUACAUCAAACAUAUAACGGGCACCCAGCAGUGUGUUCUAUAAAAUCCUUUUUACCUGUGUAUUUUUCUUUUUUUAUUGUUGUUAUUUUUAUUAUUUUAUCUAGUACCUAAAAUAUAUAAUUUACUUUGAUUUUAAAUUUAAAAAAACUAAAUAAUAAUUGUAAAUUGCUGUAUUAGAAAAUCAAUCUUGAGUUAUCGCCUGCAAAAGAGGAAUAUUGUUGAAACAAAUAAUAGUCAUGACCUAACUGUUACAACUUACAUGUUUGUGAUAUUUUUCUCGACCAGCUGAAACCGCCUAUUGGAGCAGUUUGGUCAAUUCUGUGCCCAGCUGGUGCAGCCUCUUAACCUAGCUGUUACAUGACCUCUGAAUUCUACAUUAAACAGCUGAACACCACCUUUUGGUCAAGCUGUAACAAAACGUUAUUAAAAUGUUACAAAAUAAAUAUAAUAAAUAUGUAUUAAACUAAUUUCUUGUAAUAAAUUAUUAAUAAAAUCUCAUCAGUUAAAUUAUUAUAAAAUUAAA